Anopheles merus is the source of this 765-nucleotide long non-coding RNA. RefSeq lists it as uncharacterized. NCBI's taxonomy places the organism in Eukaryota, Metazoa, Arthropoda, Insecta, Diptera, Culicidae. The transcript is spliced from 3 exons. The record is from RefSeq and is a predicted model, not a curated record.
ACUGAAUAUUACAAUUGUACACCUUUUGAAAUGGUUUUUAAUAUUCGACCAAAAGGGAAUUUAUUUUGAAUUUGAUAUUCGAUGUGUCAAAUUAGUACAAUUUGCUCAAAGAACUUUCAAAUUUAGACAAAAAGCGUACAGCUAAAUCGCGUAUAUCGAGUAUGGCGUAUAUCGGGGAAUACCUUUAUAGCCACCAGAGGAAGGUGCUGCUUCGCGUUCAUAUGAAAAAGUGGUAUUGUAAAAUCAAGUUUGUAAGCAGAAGGACGCGUCGAUGCAUGCUCGUUUUUUCUCUCGUGAAACCAGUACGGAAAAAACUAUUUGCAAAUCGUAACACACGCACAAACGGAAGUGAGCACGGACCACGAUAGAAAUAAUUAAUUGGUUGCAGUGCCAAAAACAAAAGGACAGGAGAGGUAGGAAUGAUCAUUCAACGCGUUAGCGCCGGACGAAGGAGAAGCGACAGGAAGGCAGGAACGAUCCUCCAACGUGCUAGCGCCUGGUAGAGGAGAGGCGGCAGGAAGGUAGGGACGAUUAUCCAGCACGCUAGCGCAGCAUCUGGGAACAGCGAGGAGGAGGCAAGCGGGAUGAAUUUUUAACGCGUGCACACCAUUCGACGAAGACAACGCUGGAUGAAAGGAAGAACGAGGAGAGAAGGCAGGCAAGACGGGUACGUGUGUAUCCCGCAACGGGUUUUCGGCAGUGUGAAAUGUGAGUAUUGAAAAGUGUAUGUGUGGGUAGAGGUAAAGAGGUAAAAUAAAGAGCGAA